UUUGAUGGACGUGAACUUACCAGAGCUUACCAUGAUAAGUUAAUUAUUAUUAAGGCAUUCCAUUAAAUACAUGUUUGUAUGUUUUUAUAAUUUAAUUAGGAAAUUGAAAAGAUGUCAAGUAUCAAUGAACUCGAAUCAUUUUUAUUAAAACACGGUGAGAGUAUUGUCGAUAUGGUAGACGAUGAAAUUGAUAGAAUUGAAUUAUUGAAUUGAAACUCAAGUAAAAUCGUCCAGAAAUACGGCACUGUGAUUUUGAAAUUCUAUAACAGUUAAAAAAUUAAAAAAGAUAAAAAUAAUAAAUAGCUUUAAGAGCUAAUAGUAUUGCUUGUGUGAUUGAAUUUGAAAGAGAUUCAUUAGAAUUUUAUAAUUUUGUCUGCUUUAUACAACUUGAUGGUUUA
Long non-coding RNA from Cotesia glomerata, 398 nucleotides. RefSeq lists it as uncharacterized. The transcript has 2 exons. The record is from RefSeq and is a predicted model, not a curated record. NCBI's taxonomy places the organism in Eukaryota, Metazoa, Arthropoda, Insecta, Hymenoptera, Braconidae.